Molecule: transfer RNA, 85 nt
Filed under: Rickettsia endosymbiont of Labidopullus appendiculatus
Lineage: Bacteria; Pseudomonadati; Pseudomonadota; Alphaproteobacteria; Rickettsiales; Rickettsiaceae
Also listed under: 1 other name
Description: tRNA-Leu
Rfam family: tRNA
About the family: Transfer RNA (tRNA) molecules are approximately 80 nucleotides in length. Their secondary structure includes four short double-helical elements and three loops (D, anti-codon, and T loops).
Source: RNAcentral
GCGGGUGUGACGGAAUUGGCAGACGUACUAGAUUUAGGUUCUAGUGCCGCAAGGCGUGGGGGUUCAAGUCCCUCCAUCCGCACCA